This 403-nucleotide ribosomal RNA is filed under the name Fusobacteriota bacterium. Its description in RNAcentral is "Fusobacteria bacterium partial 16S ribosomal RNA". It matches the Rfam family "Bacterial small subunit ribosomal RNA", at positions 355 to 776 of the family's 1533-position model. Lineage: Bacteria; Fusobacteriati; Fusobacteriota. The record is from RNAcentral.
UGGGGAAUCUUGCACAAUGGGGGAAACCCUGAUGCAGCGACGCCGCGUGAGCGAUGAAGGUUUUCGAAUCGUAAAGCUCUGUCCUAUGGGAAGAUAAUGACGGUACUAUGGGAGGAAGCCCCGGCUAACUACGUGCCAGCAGCCGCGGUAAUACGUAGGGGGCGAGCGUUGUCCGGAAUUACUGGGCGUAAAGGGUUCGCAGGCGGCAUGGCAAGUCCGAUGUAAAAGGCGAAGGCUCAACCUUCGUAAGCAUCGGAAACUGUCAAGCUUGAGUGAAGGAGAGGCAAGUGGAAUUCCUAGUGUAGCGGUGGAAUGCGUAGAUAUUAGGAGGAAUACCGGUGGCGAAGGCGACUUGCUGGACUUCAACUGACGCUGAGGAACGAAAGCGUGGGUAGCAAACAGG